CAGGGGCAAUAAAACCGUAUUCCGGUAUUGAACUUUCAAUGCCGGAAUGAGGAAAGUCCGGGCUCCUUCGGAAAAGAUGCCGGAUAAUAACCGGGCAGGAGUAAUCCUGACAGACAGUGCCACAGAGAAUAUACCGCCUGAAAAGGUAAGGGUGAAAAGGCGAGGUAAGAGCUCACCGGGCUUACGGUAACGUAAGCCGCAUGGUAAACCUCAUCUGGAGCAAGGACAAGCAGUAACGGAAUGCCGAAUAGCAUCUUAUGAUGCACCGUUACGGGUAGUCCGCUGGAUAUGCAGCGUAAGUUGCAUACAGGAUAGAUGGUUUUACACGGUUUUUGCAUUAUAUGCAGGAAUCGUGCGACAGAACCCGGCUUAUUAUUGCUUCUGUUUU
This 388-nucleotide RNase P RNA is filed under the name Spirochaetaceae bacterium. RNAcentral describes it as "RNase P RNA component class A". It matches the Rfam family "Bacterial RNase P class A". Rfam says of the family: Ribonuclease P (RNase P) is a ubiquitous endoribonuclease, found in archaea, bacteria and eukarya as well as chloroplasts and mitochondria. Its best characterised activity is the generation of mature 5'-ends of tRNAs by cleaving the 5'-leader elements of precursor-tRNAs. The record is from RNAcentral. Lineage: Bacteria; Pseudomonadati; Spirochaetota; Spirochaetia; Spirochaetales; Spirochaetaceae.